UGAGCAAUCUGCCCUUCUCUUUGGAAUAAGCGUUGGAAACGACGUCUAAUGCCGAAUACGACCUCCUUUCGCAUGAUCGGAGGUGGAAAGCUCCGGCGGAGAAGGAUGAGCUCGCGGCCUAUCAGCUAGUUGGUGUGGGUAAUGGCCCACCCAAGGCGACGACGGGUAGCCGGCCUGAGAGGGUGACCGGCCACACUGGGACUGAGACACGGCCCAGACUCCUACGGGAGGNAG
This 234-nucleotide ribosomal RNA is filed under the name uncultured bacterium. RNAcentral's name for it is "partial 16S ribosomal RNA". It matches the Rfam family "Bacterial small subunit ribosomal RNA", at positions 118 to 351 of the family's 1533-position model. The record is from RNAcentral.